RNAcentral lists this long non-coding RNA (441 nucleotides) under Gossypium barbadense (sea-island cotton). Its description in RNAcentral is "long non-coding RNA (GBAR_LNC002168)". The record is from RNAcentral. Lineage: Eukaryota; Viridiplantae; Streptophyta; Magnoliopsida; Malvales; Malvaceae.
GCAUAUUAAAUUUAGUAUAAGUUAAAAAAAUAAUUAUUCAUAAAAAAUAAUUAUUCAUUUAUAAAAAAAAUUUAACGGUUAAUCAUAUAUUAAUAUAGAUUAGAUCAAUAUGAUAAAGAUAUUAGACGAUGAGCUUCUCUUGGUCAUUGCCUCACGACCAAAAAGGCUCGAAACUUCGAUGAGUAAUCAUAGGGGAUUCUUUCUGCGAGGAGCUUCUCUUAGUCAUAGUAGGGGCUCAACUCGCUACUCAAUUAGAUGUCAGUGCUAGAAGCGAAAGUCCAGGGAUUGGAUCAUCUCUACAGUAGGUUCAUCUUGAGGAAGUACGGUACGUCUAAGGUUAAGAUCUGAAGCCGAUCUUCAUUGGCCUUCCGCACCUAUGAUUCCUUGAAUUCCUCGCCAAUUUAAGGUCAAGCGGCUUAACUUUUUUUCUCGUUCCUUUUG